This 22699-nucleotide long non-coding RNA is filed under the name Capsicum annuum. RNAcentral's name for it is "long non-coding RNA (CANN_LNC003984)". The record is from RNAcentral. Lineage: Eukaryota; Viridiplantae; Streptophyta; Magnoliopsida; Solanales; Solanaceae.
ACCACCUCAUACCCUACCUCCCUAACCCUAUCCCACGUCACACCCCCUUUUUUUUCUUGUCCAAAAAGAUAGGACCAAAAAAAAAAAAAAUACAAUGUAUAUAUACACAGAUACACACAAAACAAGAGAGCAGAUAGAGAGCAUAGAAAAAGAAAAAAAGAAUCAGCCCCUUCUCUCUCUAGACUCUACUCUCUCUCUCUCAAAAACUUCGCCGGCGACCGCUGCCUCUCCGUCCGACCAACGACAGCGGCAAUAACGCCGUCGUUACCGUCUCUCUCCUCUCGAAACCAACGUCCUGUCCCAACAAAUCAGAGAGAACCUCCGUCGCCGGCGAAAUAGUCCGCCUUCCUCCGUUCGCCGGCGAAACAGUCACCAUCCGGCGAAGACGCCGCCGUCGUUUCAACCAUAACGACGACGGUCGGCCCACCCACGCCGACGCCAGAGAUGGCGCCACACCGCUCCUCCGUCACCGCCUAGAUCUGCCGCCGCCGGCACCAAAUAAAACCCCCAUCGCCGCCGGAGAAGAAAGCAAAACCAGAUGCUGCUCUGCCGCCAGCAGUCGCUGCUCCGGUUGCGGCGCAUCGACCACUGGCUCUAGCCGCAGGUCACCGAAGCUUGAUCUGCGUCUGGGUUUUGGGUUCCUGUUGUUUGAUUGGGGGUUUUGGUUUCGUCUAAUUCCUGGUUUGUCGUCAAAAUUGGAUUUCGAGUUGUCGUUAUCAAUCGCGUCGUCGUUAUUGUUUGGGUUUCGUAUAACAAAGUUUGUUUCACUGAUUUUGAAGUUGUCCUAUUAGUUUUCCCUAUACUGAGUUGGAUUCAUUGCGAUCGAGGUUCUCCGGUCGAGUAUUUUGGUCUUCGGAUUUCUUUAUUAUCGUCAAGAAUCAAUUUCAUCGAGGUCCAUUUCUUCUAACCGAAUCUUUAAUUUAUUUGACUUUUCAUGAUGUUGUGGGUGUGGAUGAUUUAUUUGUUGCCUGUUUGGUAUGUUCGAAUAUGUGUUAUGUGUUGGUUGAUGUUGGUUUCGGAACUUUGAAAAGUGAAUUGAUAAAUCGAAGCAUGUUUAAUCAUAUUGUUUGAAAUAAAUUUGGUGACGGGAAUCAAAAAUUGAUAAAAGUAAAUAUCUUGAUAUUUUUGAUGCAUUGUUGAUGUUGAAUGCGGUACGUUGUCGAGCGGGUAGGCAAAUAGUAAGCUCUGGGUAGGCAAGUUUAGGAUUGGUGCAGUGUUGGAAUGAUUGGAAUACUUGUUGAAUGUCUUGUUUAUCGUAUUUGGAAAGUGUAUUUAUUUAAUCGGGGAAUGCCCCGAGGUAAUUUGUAUUUACUCAUCGGGGAAUGCCCAGAGGAAUCUUGUAUGCAAAGGAUGCUCGUGAUCAAGACCCGAGGCAUCGGGUAAAGCAUAGUUAGGACUAGUGUAGGUUAUUUCAGUAUUUUUAUUUCGGGUUGUAAUAAUUGGAUUGGACUUUAUAUUUUUGUUUUGUCUUUGUUAUUGUUUAAUUAUUUUGCGUGCUUUUUGUGUAGUGUAUGCAUUCGUAACGUCAAUUUAGCCGAUACGCUCUACUAAGCGACCGUGGUUGAACCCGAUACGCUCUACUAAGCGACCGUGGUUGAACCAUGGGAUCGAGGGAUGUCUAACACCUUCCCCUCGGUCAACAGAAUUUCUUAGCCGGAAUCUCUGUUCGCAAAUCAGUUUAAGAGUCAAAUGGUUUUGAAAAGGAUUUUCCAAAGGUGACUUGGCACACCGAAUUAUGCCAAGUGGCGACUCUGAAUAAAAAAAAUGUAAAAAAUCUUUUUCCGAAAUAAAUUUUCAUUUCUUGUCACUUAAAUAGUAAAGCCCUUUUGAACUUUAAAAUAUACAUUUUUUGGAGUACGUAAAAAGGGGUGUGACAAUUGGGUUGGGUCGAGUUUAUUUAUUUGAUGAAUUUUAAAAAGAAAUUAUACACGUGGAUGCUGAUGUGGAAUGUAUAAUUGACUUUUUUUAUCUAGGUGACGUCUUUGGUGAACUUCUGUUAGAAGGGUAUUUUUGAACCAAAUAUUUAAUAGAGGAGUAUUUUUUAGCCAAAAAACUAACGAGGGGUAUUUUUGAUCCAUUUCAGGUAAUUCAGGAAUAUUUUGGAUCCUUUUCCUUUUAAAAAAUUAUAUAAAAUAAGGUUCAAUUAACUUGCACACAUCUCUGAACAUUUUAAUUGUAUACCUACAACUUAAUUCUCUUAAAAGUUAAAAAGAACUAUCUCUUUACUUUUUUAUAUUCUAACCUUUUUUUUUUUUGACAAAAUUAUGAUUUUCACUAACGAUUAUGCGUGUAUGAUGACAGUUUGUGUAGUAGAAGAAAAAUGUACACGUUCGAAUUAUUACAAUCGCGUAUGCAGUGAAAUAUCUCCAUUUGCUAAUGAAGUAUGCGAAGCUUUUUGCAUUAAACGAUUUGGAAAAAAAUUGUGAAGCAAAAUGUAUACCUUUUUGUAUGUCCCUAAAAAUAAGGAUUGUAUUUGGUUAUUUCUCUGGAAAUAAUUAAUUUCCUACCUUUUAAUAAUUUCAAUUAUUAUAUUGAAAAGUAAAGUUUUAUCCUCUUCGUCUUAAUUGAUGUCAUGUUUCUUUUUAUUUAUUAUUAAUGUUACGUUAAAUUUGUGCUUAUUUCAAUCAACAGAGAUAUUUUUUAAGUGUGUUUAUGAAUAAAGAGUUGCUUCACUACAACUAAUAUAAUAUCAUCAUAUUGGUACCAUUCUAAAAGUGAAAACCAACAAAAGUGAGAAAGUUAAAUAAUUAAGAUAUCUAUUAAAAGUUGAACGACUUUUUUUUAAGCUAAAUUAAUUAUCCUGUGGUAAGGCUUGGACAAGUAAUUUCAGCUGAUUGUGUUUUUAUUUGGAAGAUAAUUUUUUUGUUGAAAAUUAUUAAUGAAAGAGAAUAUUUUAAUGAUUGGAUGGUGCUCAAUUCAAACAUGUGAUUAAGUGCAAACAUGUGAGCAUGAUCGUAUCUUAGUAUUUUCCGGUAGCCGAUAUUCUUGGUGUGUGUUCUAUAUUUUAUAUUUUGAUUACUUUGGCAUAUCCAAAUUUUAUUAGAAAGAUUAUAAUGCCAAACUAAGGCUAAAUAUCAAAUGAUCAAUCGAAUACAUAUUCCACAAACAAGUUAAAUACAAGAAAAUUGUGUUAACACCACAAAAGAGAUUGUCUGCUAGCAGACUAAACCAAGAAAAACAAGAUCGAGGAUAUCAAAUUAUCCUCAUUUAUAUGUGCUAAAUCUAUAAUGAGUAGAAAUCUCACUCACGACCUAAACAACGAGCAAACAUUCGAAUAUGAGGGCAAGGAUCACCCAUGGACGAGUUAAAAGGAGGAAGGGAGGUAAGAACCAUGUUUUCAGAGAUCUAAUUCGGUCCAAUUCAAAUCUUAUCUGAACUGCGAGAAUAAUUUAUUAAGUCGUGCCAUAAGGGGUGAUUCUCCAAAUGGAACGGGGCCAAGCCUUUAAUUAGGUUGUUCAAGCUAAGUAGGUUGGGUGACAGAUCGGUCGUAGGAACCUAGGCAAUGAAAAAAGGGCCCAUUACUUCAACUAGAGGAGUGAUCAGUUGGUUUACUGAACACAUAAAAAGCUAAAAUUGGAAAAAGAUAAACGAGGUUUUAGAAGAUCCAAAUGUACCCAACAUAUCCUUAGCUAAAAGGUGUUGCUCGAAGGGAGAAAAUGUUGGAAAAAUCAUGUAAUAUAAAAAUAAGUAUUACAAAAGGUCCUUAAUAAUUAACAAUCGAUCAUGAUACUGCCUAACUUGAUUAUUUGUAACUCCUACUUUAUCCAACAUAAAUAAAAGAUGUUGAAAGUAAUUAGGUCAGUGAAAAAUGUAACGAUUUUGAAUUUAUGCAAGUGCUCUCAAUAUUUUAAGAUAAGUUUUAAAAUGUUAAAUUAUUCAAUUAAUUUAUUUAAUGGGCGGUAUUUAAUUUUCUUUUGUAAUAGUUUUCAUUUAUUAGAAGGUAAUUUCACUUCUUUUGUUUUUUGUUCAAAAUUAUUAAUAAGAAUAAUGUUUAAGUGAAGAGUAAAAUAGUCUCGUUCUGAACAUAAUUAAGUGAAGGGUAAAAUAAGUUAAAAACAUUCACAUAUUUUAAAGGAAAAAUUUCAGAAAUAGCAACUAUAGUGUUGGAAUGUUAAUGCAUACAUUAGUUUAAUGUAUAUUAGUAGUACCUUGUUUGGUAUAUCGGUUUACCCUAUGUAUGCGUUAGUUAUGCACUCUAUUGUGUAUUGAGGUAUGUAUUACUAAUACUUCAAAAUCCAUGACAUUAGUACUGCAACGGAUCUAAUGUAUGCAUUAAUAUGCUUAAAGACCCUAUUACCCCUCAAAAAGUUUUCCACAUCCUUUCCAAUAUAUAUAUUGAGGGUAUUAUGUAAAAAAAAAUAAAAAAAUUUAGAAAUUAUGCGAUUCAUGUUUUCUUUAAUACAUCGAACCAAACACUGCAUAAGAAAAAUACAGACAUAACUAAUGCAAGCAUAACUAACACACACAUUAUUAAUACACCAUAUUUUACAUUAUUCUUAUACACUAUACCAAAUGAUCCCUUAGUGUUUUAAAACUAAAAUCUUAUUCAAUCCUAACAAUUUAUUGAAUUUGGUAUAUAUGCAUGUAGGUAAAUGCCGUGUAUUAUAUAGAUUAUUAUUUUCGUAAAUCAGAACAUCUUUAGUGAGUAAUAGAUUACCUUCCAAAAAUAGUGAAUCAAGAUUGGCUAUUGAUCUUUUUCCAAGUCCUUGAGAAAUGUCCAAAUUAAAAUUUUAAUAGAGACACUUAAUUUGCAGGAAAUCAGAUUUAACUUCUGAUAUUAUAUGAAGUCUUCAAAUUAAAAUUUUUAAUAGAAAUAGUUACUUAUCAAUUUUUUGGAAAUCAGAUUUAACUAUUGGUAUAUUAUGUCAAGUCUUUAAAGAAAGGUCCAAAUUAAAAUUUUAAUAGAGACACUUAAUUUGCAGGAAAUCAUAUUUAACUACUGAUAUUAUAUCAUGUCUUCAAAGAAAUAUCCAAAUUAAAAUUUUUAAUUGAGAUAGAUACUUAUCAUUUUUUAGAAAAUCAGAUUUAACUAUUGAUAUAUUAUAUCAAGUUUUUAAAGAAAGGUCCAAAUUAAAAUUUGAUUAAGAUACUUAUAAUUAGCCUAACUUGUAUAUAAACAUGGAGAGUGUGCCCAAAAAACUCAUAAAUCAUAUACACUACAUUAUUUUUUAUUGGUGAUAGAAAAAUGGCAAUGUCUCCAAAAACUUUUUUGAUCUUUCUUGUUCUUGCUGCCACUGCAUUAGUUAUCUUUUUUUCUACAAUAAAUUAUUAUAGUCAAAUUGUAUAGGGUUCAAAUAUACAAUUUGUUAUAAUUUUAGUAAAAUUUUGCACAUAAACUUAUACUAUCAGUUAAAAAUAUUAGGUUCAAAUGAAUGCAGUGUUAAAACACUACAUCCAUCCUUAGUAAUUAUUAUUACUAAUGUUUUUAUUUAUAUUAAAGAAAGUAAAAUUAACUCUUACAAAUCUCUGAGCAUUAUAGUUUUUUUUUUUUUGGUAAAGAAGGAGCAUUGAAUUAAAUUGCACAAUUUGUUACAAGCAUUGCCCACUAAUCAAUCGGGUUCAAAAACAUCCGCAUCGAAAUCUUGAUAGUUUAAUGUUUCUGCUAAAUUGAGUUCCUAAAAUGUCUGCCUAGACAUGCUCUGGUGCAUACAUAGGCGGAACUGCCAAAAUAUGGGUGUUGCCAAAAAUUUUCAUCCUUGCUCCUUCCUUUGAUAAAGAGUGUCACUUAGUUCUGCUCCCUAAAACAAUGGUUCACCAGUGGAAGUCCCACCCUUCUCAGCACUGACCUACAAGCAUCAAUGAUUGGGUUAUAGUGAAGAUUUUCAUGUUCAAGCAUGUGGAUUAUCUUUUUGGGAUCAACAUUAAUUUCAAGAGGAUGGAGGUUGUUAGCUUCUGCUAACUUCAGGCCUUCCAGAAGAGCAAUCACCUCCAUUUGGUUGUUGAUUGCUUUGGAAAUUUCUUACAGAACCCCAGUAUCUAGCCCCCCUUGUCAUUUUUAAUUGUGCCUUCUAUACCUUCAAUUCCGGGGUUUCCUAGGCAUGAACCAUCGAUAUUAAGUUUAUAGGAGCCUCUUGAAGAGGUGUUCCAUUUAAAGGAAACAAAGAUGGUUUGGGGGGCUUGAGUUUGUGGAGUGUUAGUCAGGUAAGUAAACUCCACAGCUGCAGCAUAUGCAUUCUCAAACUUGGGUAAAGCAUUGAGAUUUUUAAAAACGUUCUCAUUCCAACAUUUUAAAACCCCCGAAACACAGAAAGCAGUUAAGACAUCAAGACUAAUGUGGUUGUCAAAAGGGGUGUUACGAAACAGGUCUUGGUCUCAUCACGCAUGUCAUCAUCUGUGGCAUUUAGGAGGUUGGGUCUUGGGCAUCCCAUUUUUGUGAAUAGGCAUGUCCAGAUGGAAGAUGUUUGAGGGAAAUCCUAGAACAGAUGGACAAUGAUUUCAGGAAUGGUAUUACAUUUCCAACAGUUGGGCUAUAUAGGCACUCUCGUCUUAUUGAGGGUAAAGUUACACGAUAACCUAUUAUGAUCGAGAAGCCAAAGAAAGUGUUUGAUCUUGUUGGGAAUUUUCAUGGACUAGAUCCAUUUGAAUUCUUUAAAGUUGGCGUGUUUUUUAUUUCCAGUGCUGAUAAAUUUAUAAAGGCUGCUACUGGUAAAGAUGCUAUUGACAGUUAAUCCCCGGAUAGGGUAAUCAUUGGGAGUCCUAAUAGUAAGGAAGAAGCUGCUUUGGAUAGUGGAGAGAGGAAGCUCAAAUGGGAGGGAAGAGAAGUCCCAAGUACCAUUCCUCCAAAUAUCUGAGACUUUGAUUUGGUGGAGAUUUCUAGUUGCAGGCCUCUGAAUAGUAUUAGAGAGAGGCUUAGUGUUAGGUAACCACUUAUCAGUCUAGAAACUAACUUGGUCUCCCUUGUUGAUGAUCCAAAAGGUGGCCUCUUUGCAAAUUCUUUUUUCAUUAAUGAUGCAUUUUCAAAUUCUAGAAACCGAACUAUUGUUGUUAAUUUGGGAGUAUUUGUUGACUAAAACCCUUGACCAAAGAGUCUGGGGGGUUUUAAUGAGCCUCCAUGCUAGAGAGGUGUGCAUAGAAGUGUUCUUUAGACUAACUUUUUGGAUUCCCAACCCUCCCAUGUAUUUGGGUUUAGUGAUCACCUCCCAGCUGAGCACAUGCAUUUUUUUUUAGCAUCAAUGGUGUCCCAAAUGAAAUUCCUUUGGAUUUUGUCUAUGUGAUAGUUGGUUCUGUGGGGAAUAGAGGUGUAUUGCAUAACAUGGUUAGGCAUGAUGUUAAGAGAGGCCUUUGCAAGAGUGAUUCUACGAGACUACAACUCAACUUGCUUAAUAUGUAAAUAUAUCUAUCUAUCUAUCUAUCUAUCUAUCUAUCUAUCUAUAUAUAUAUAUAUAUAUGUAUAUAUAAAAAAAAACUAUUUUCGAUAAAAAAAAUUGAUCUUAUCACUAAUGAAGUGCAUAUAAUGACAGGUUGUGUAUCUGAUGAACAUUGUCAUAAUUCAUGUUCCUCAUAUUACAGUAAACUAUGCCUAGAUAUUACUAGCAAUAAUGCAUGUAAAGUUUUUUGCUCAAGAUAUUACUAGCAAUAAUGCAUGUAAAGCUUUUUGCUCAGGACGAUUUGGAAGAAUUUGAUUUGGAAGAAUUUGUGAUGCAAGAUGUACGAUAGAUGACAAAGAUUUUGUUUGUGAAUGUCUCCUUCCAGAAGAUGAAUGUCCCUAAAAUUAAAUAAGGGUUGCAUUUAAUUUGUUUUCCUUUUCUCUUUUGCUAUUUUUCUUGAAAUAAUUAAUUUCCUACCUUUUAAUAAUUUGAAUUCUUAUAAUGCAAACUAAAAAUAAUUAAUUUAAUAAUUUUACUAUUAUAAAUUAAAAAAAUUGUGUCGUUAAUGUUAUAAAGACUAUUUCAAAAUUUUACUACUAGAUGUGUUAGCUGUGACCCAAAAAAGGGAUUAUGAUAGAAAAUUAACCCACGGUACUUUAAGUGUCUUAUUUUAUUUUUAAAAAUAAAAAAUCAUCAAAUAAUCAUUUUUCUCUACCGUUGUCCUUUUCCUUUAUUUUUUGGUUAAAAGGAGAAUUUACCUAUUUAACAACUAUAACGCCGAAUCAAUCAUUAGAUAAAAGAAACUGACUGAAUUUUGGGCCUUCCAUAAGGUGAUCACUUUAGUUUUAAAAAAUAGUAGAAAAAAGAAUAAAUACUUUGGUCCUUAUACGUCUAAAUUUAAUGAAAAUUUAUGUUAAAAAAGACAACACAAUACGCUAAGAUUUUCACUUUACGCCGAAUUCAAUAUAAUGUCCGAUCAUAAAAAUUUAUUAUAUACAAUCUUAAAUUAUAGUGCAAGAGAUAAUGUUCAAUGCUUGACGUAUAAAUCACAUCAUAUCGAAACUCACAUCAAUAUGGGGUGUAAAUCAGAGACAUUUUUGACUAAGUAAAAGCAUCACUUUGAUUUUUCAUUUAAUUUUAAAGCCAUAUUUAUAAUUUUUUUUAAUAGACAUAUUUAUAAUUUUUGAUUUACUGUCCAAAUUAAUUUUUUAAAAUUAAAAAAAAAAAGAUUAUAUGGCUAUUAAUUUUUUUUCAAGAUUAUAAAUCUGGCUAUAAAAAUUUUGGAAAGCCAUAUUUAUAAUUUUUUAUUAACUAUCCAAAUUAAUUGUAUUAACUGUCCAAAUUAAGAUUUUAAUAGCCAUAUUUAUAAUUUUUGUAUGAUAUCAGAAUUAACUAUUAAUAUGUCAAGUUUUUAAACUUAUAAUUAGCCUAACUUGUAUAUAAAUAUGGAGAGUGUUCAUUGUAAACUCACAAAUCAUUGAGACUACAUAAAUUACUCUUUCUUUCUCUUUAUUUUUUUUAAUCGGUGAUAGAAAGAUGACUAUAUCCUCAAAAAUCUUUGUGAUCUAUCUUGUCCUUGUUGCAAUUGCAUCAGGUAUCCUUAUUUUUUCAUGUAAAAGAAUUAAUAUAUCCAAAAACAUAGAAUCAAUAUUUAAAUUUUGUUGGCUUAAUCUUUAAGUUGUUAUGCUAAAUUUAUAUUCUUAAAAUUUUAGGCAAAGGUAUACUAUUUUUUGUAUUUUGAUGAAUUUCUACACAUAUAUUUAUAUAUUAUUAGUCAAAAAUAUUAAGUUCAAAUGAAUACAGUGUUACAAUAUCACAUCUAUCCUUAAUAGUUAUAGUUUAAUUCUUUAUUUAUUAGUUAACUUGUGCACAUCUCCAAGCAUUAUAGUUAUAUAUCUACAACUCAUAAAUUUAAACUAUUAAUUAAAAUGCUAGUUCAUUUAAUUAUGUCACUAACCAUUGUGUAUUUAAUGACAGGUUGUUUAGCGCAGGACAAAUGUACAUGUUCCAAUUAUUAUAAUAAAAUAUGCAAAGACCUAUCUUUUGCUGCUAAUCGUGUAUGUGAAGGUUUUUGUACUGAACGGUUUGAAAAAAUAUGUGGAGCAAGAUGUGUACAAGAUGAUGAUAUUGUUUGUGAAUGUAUUAUUUCAGGAGAUAUAUGUGGCUAAAAUUAAGAAUUAUAAAUCUUUAAUUUUAUUUUUUCGAAAUGAUGAUUAAUUUUCUGUAUCUUUGAAUAAUAUCAAUUAUUAUAAUAAAAAUACAACGUACUAUCUUUUUCGUCUUCAUCGUCGUCAUCCUUUUCUAUUAUUAUUAUUAUUAUUAUUAUUAUUAUUAUUAUUAUUAUUAUUAUUAUUAUUAUUAUUAUUAUUAUUAAGAAGUUUACUUUAUGUUUGACUCAAUUAACAAAGUUAUGUUUGAGCAUGGUUAUGCCCAACAUAUGAAUUCUUAGAAACAUAGAAUCUGAAGUGAAAAAUUAUAACUUCGAAUUGAUGAACAAACUGUCUAUUUGAAUGACUAAAUUAUUUAACUUCAAAUAUUAUAUAUUUGUAAAAUCUCAAAACUUGAACAAUUAAAAUUAGUUAGGUCGACACGAUCAUAUCUUAAUUAAAAUUUUCUUACAGACGAUAUUCGUGGUGUAUAUUCUAAAUUUGAUAUUUUUAUUAGUUUUGCAUAUCCAGAUUCUGUUAGAAGAAUUAUAAUACCAAACGAAGGCUAAAUAUCAAAUUAUCAAUCGAAUAUACUUAACUUUGUACUUUUUCUGUUUCAAUUUAUUUUUUUUAUUUUUUAAAUUUGUUAUAUAUUUAAAAAUUACAUAAAAAAAAAAACUAUAAAUCAUAACUAUUGAGUAACAAUUUAAAAGAUUUUAUUGACUCUUAAAAUUAAUGUCACAUAAAUUGAGAAAGAGAGAGUGACAUAUAUUAUGUGAAAAUUACAUUAAAUAUACUAUAAAUCAUAAUAAUUAAUAACAUUAAAUAUUUAAAAACCAUACAAAAUAUUUGGUUGACUCUCCAAAUUCCACCAGUGUCACAUUACAUUUAUAGAUGUUCACUUUCAGUGAGUAAUUAAUUAACCUUCUAAAAAGAGUAACAAUCAAAUUUGACUCUUGAUAUUAUGUCUAAGUCUUUAAAGAAAGUGUCAAGAUUAAGAUUUUAAUAGAGUUACUUAUCAAUUUUUAGGAUAAUAAAUUCAACUAUUAGUAUUAUUUAUGUUAAGUAUUUUAAAAAUUAUAUAUUUAAAAUUUUGGUCCAAGGUAUACUAUUUGCUGUCAUUCAUGGAUUUUGACAUAUAUAUUUAUAUUACCAAUCAAAAAUACUAGGUGCAGAUGAACACUAUGUUACAACAUUGCACAUAUCCUUAGUAGUUAUUAUUAAUAUAUUUUUAAAAAAUUUAUAUAAAAGAAGGUUAAAUUAACUUGCGCACAUCUCUGAACAUUUUAGUUGUAUACCUACAACUUAAUUCUCUUAAUAGUUAAAAAGAAAUAUCUCUUUACUUUUUCAUAUUCUAACCUUUUUUUUUUUUUUGACAAAAUUAUGAUUCUCACUAACAUUAUGCGUGUAUGAUGACAGUUUGUGUAGUAGAAGAAAAAUGUACACAUUCGAAUUAUUACAAUCGCGUAUGCAGUGAAAUAUCUCCAUUUGCUAAUGAAGUAUGCGAAGCUUUUUGCAUUAAACGAUUUGGACGAAUUUGUGAAGCAAAAUGUAUACCAGAUUUGGUAUGUCCAGAAAACAUAUGUCCCUAAAAAUACAAAAUUGUAUUUGCUUAUUUCUCUGGAAAUAAUUAAUUUCCUACCUUUUAAUAAUUUGAAUUAUUAUAAUGAAAAUUAAAACUCUAUCUUCUUUGUCAUAAUUGUUGUCAUCUUUUUCUUCUUUUAUUAAUGUGAUGCGUUAAAUUUGUGUUUAAUUUAAGAAAUUUAUGUUUGAGCGUGUUUAUGAACGAAGAGUUGUAUUUCACUACAAAUAAUCUAUAUCAGCAUAUUUAUACCAUUCUAAAAGUGAAAACUAACAAAGUGAAAAAGUUAAAUAAUUAGGAUAUCUAUUGAAAGUUGAACUACUUUUUUUCUUUCGAAAGCUAAAUUAAUUAUCAUAAGGUAAGGUUUGAAAAAGUAAUUUCAACUGUUUUCUUUUUAAAGACAAUUUUUUUGUUGAAAAUUAUUACUGAAAGAGAAUAUUUUAAUGAUUUGACAGUGCUCAAUUCAAACAUGUGAGUACGGUAGAUAAUAUUCUUUGGUGUAUGUUCUAUAUGACUAUAUUCUUUAUUUUAAUUAUUUUGGCAUAUCCAAAAUUUGUUAGAAAGAUCAUAAUUCCAAACUAAGACUAAAUAUCAAAUGAUUAAUCCAAUACAUAUUCCACAAACAAGUUAAAUACAAGAAAAUUGUGUUAACACCAUGUUGGAUUGCGAGUCAUGGGUCGUCUAUGUGGAUCGAUCCGACUCGACCCGAAUUCCUUUUAUCUGAAGAAAAAAGAUGAGAUUAUAUUUUUUAAAUUUUGUAGGAACAUUUACAAAUAGAAACUGUCAACAUCCCCUUAUAUGUUCCAAUAUGUACAUCUUCUUCAUUAGUUAAAGUGAGUGACGAAAAUAAGAACACAAAAGGAAAAAAAAUAAGAAAAGUGUUGUGACCAUUUCUUGACAUCAACAAAACAUCUAAGAGUAUAAGGCAUUUAGUUUAUGGAUUUACAUUCCGUUUUCAAGAGAAAUGAAAUUGACUUGAAGCGAUUCUUUCGGUGGCAAAAUCAUCUUCUUUCGCUGCAACAGAAAAAGGUAAACACUGAUUUUUCUCCGAAUUUUUCUAUCACACCACAAAAGGGAUUGCCUGCUAGCAGACUAAACCGAGAAAAACAAUAUCGAGGAUAUCAAAUUAGCCACAUGUAGAUGUAUUGUAUCUGCAAUGAGCAGAAAUCCCACUCAUGACCAAAACGCCGAACAAACACUCAAAUAUGAGAGCAAGGGAUCUCCCAUGGACGAGUUAAAAGGAGGGAGGGAGGCGAGAACUACGUUUCGGAGAUCUAAUUCAAUCCGGUUCGAAUCUUAUCUGAACUUCGAGAAUAAUUGACUAAGUCGUGCCAUAAGAGGGACGGGGUCAAGCCUUUAGAUUAUUUAAGUAGGUUGGGUGACAGAUCGGUCAUAGAACCUAGGCAAUCAAAAAUGUUCGAAAAAUCAUGUUUGAGUAGAAAUUUAAUUAAUACAAAAUUAAGCAUUACAAAAGGUCCUUAAUAAUUAACAAUUGUUAAUGAUACUGCCUUAACUUGAUGUAAAAAUUACAUAUAUAACAAUAUGUUUACUAGUAUUUACCAUAAACCUCAAUUAUUUUCAAAAUUUCAUUAAAUCCCAAUAUUUAGCCUUUGAAAAUACAUAUAAUCUAAGUUAGAUACGUCCUACAGAUACAUGCAUUAGGUAAACUAAUUAGCAUGUUUUAAGGGAUGUAACGGCUAAACUAGCAUUAAUAUAGCAAUUAACCUAACUAAUUGUGGUAAAAAUUAAAUAUUAUCGCACGAAAUAUGAUAAUUAGUUUGUUAUUCCACCAUUUUAAAUAAGAAUCUUUCUAUAAUCAAUUUCUAGAUUGCAAAAAGUUUAUACGUUCCAUCAAAAAAAAUUCAUACGACCUCUUUUUAUUUCAGUUUUUUUUUUUAGUAUUUGCAAUGAAUAUUUCAGUGUUGUUACGUCAUUCCAAUGUUUGGAUUAACGAUAUAAAGUACGAGGAGUAUAAAAGCGAUGGAAUCGUGGUUAGUGAACAUGUAACUUACGAUAAACUAAUUUCGUCAAUUGUUGUAGAACUGGAAAUUGAUGAAAGUAGGAAAAAAUUGAGGCUCGUUACAUAGUUGAUGGCAAUGCGGCACCAUUGUUGAUUCAUAAUGAGAUGGGUGUGAAGCUUUAUAUCGAAAUUAAGAAAAGUGAACCUGGUUUUGGAACGUAUCCACUUAUCAUCACUACAUUAGUUAAGUUUGCUAGUGAAAUGUUGUUUGAUGGGAAAGUUGAUGCAGUAAUGUGUUUGGAAAAUCCAUGAGAGGAAGUUGCGGGAUUAAUUAGUUAUAAAUCUAAUUGUUCUGCUCCUUGCCAUUGUUCGAUAUGAAAGGGAAUAAGAUCAUUACUGAUUGCAAACAUAGUGAAGUUAAGGUUGGGCAAAUCUACAAGGACAAGUGUACUCUAAUUUCAGUUAUGGCAAGGUAUGCAAUUGACCAUCCCUUCAAUUUCUAUGCGAAAAGAUCGGACAAGAAAAUAUAUGUAUCUUCAUGUAUCAGUUGUAGUUAAUUAUCUAUACUUUAAUGCAUUAUGUAUCUAAUGUUUACUAAAUAAUUUUUGUUUAUACAAUUUUACCAAAAUUAGUGUACUUAUGUUAAUAAGGCGGAGAUAUAUUUUUAAUGUUCAUAAUACAUUUUUCCUCUUCUUGUAUCUAAGGAAUUUUGUGAUGGACCAAGUGGUAUCUUUUUCCCUUGAAUUAAUAUAAACUAAUGGGGCAAAUUAGAAUAUCUCCCAUGAGUAAUUGAUUAACCUUCUAAAAAGUAUUACAAUCAAAUUUUACUAUUGAUAUUAUGCUUCUUUAAAGAAAUGUCCAAAUAAUAGAGUUACUUAUCAUUAGCCUGACUUGUAUACAAAUUAGAUAUUGAAGCACAUGGCAGCAUGUGUUCAAUAUGUCUUUUUUUAAAAAUUUAUAUGGUAUAGAUGAAAUUUGAAAAGUUAAUAAUUUUUUUUAUAAUUCUUUAAAUAUUUUACGUUAUUAGUUAUUGAUUUGGUAGUAUUUUUACAUAAUUUUCAAAUACUAUAUGCUAUAUUUUUUGCUCCAAUUUAUGUGACACUGAUGGAAUAUUUGAGAAGGUCAAUCAAAUUUGUUAUAUAUAUAUUUAGAUAUUUUAAUUUAUUAAUUAUAGUGUGAUUUAUACGACUUUCUAGAUAUUUUUCAAGUAAUAUCUCUCUAUCCCAAUUAAUAUGACAUCGAUAGAAUUUGAAAAGUCAAGCAUGUCUUUUAUACAUCUUUUAAAUAUUUUAGAUUGAUAAUUAUUGUGAUUUAUAUUAUUUUUCAUAAAAUUUUCAAAUAAUGUAUCCCAAUUAAUGUUGCAGUAUUGUGAUUUAUUUUACUUUUUAUGAAAAUUUUAAAUAAUAUAUCUCAAUUUAUGUUGCAUUAAUAAAAUUUUGAGUCAGCCAAAUUUUUUUAUGUGUAUUCAAAUAAUUUAAAUUAAUAAUUAUUAUAAUUUAUAAUAUUUUUUUGCACAAUUUUUAAAUAUAUAACAAGUUAAAGCUAAAAAUAAAAUAAUUACAUUAAAAUUUAAGCAAUCAAAUAUAUUUUUAAUAUAUUUUUAGAAUUUUUAAACUGUUAGCUAUUGUAAUUUAUAAUAGUACGUUUUUUGGUAUUGUAAUUUAAUAUUUUAAGUUUUUAGCUAUUAUAAUUUAUAAUACUCUCAUUGUUUAAAUUUUUGUGGCAUUGAUAGUCAAUUAUAUUUUAAAAAUAGUUGAAAUAUUUUAAUUAUUGUGAUUUAUAAUACUUUUUCUUCUAUUUCAAUUUAAGCGAUAAUGAUAUAAUUUCAAAAGUCAAUCAAAUAUCACCAUUGAAGAAGCGAAUCAUAUAUGUAUUAAAUGAUGACUCAUAAUAACGAAUUGGAAGUGAUAUAACAAAAUUACUGUAAAAAUACUUGUGAAGAAAAAAAAUUUAAGUGGGUUUCAUAUAAGACGCCAGAUUUAUUUCAUAUAUCAAUAUUUAAUUUAUUAUGUCCAUUUUUCUUUUUUAUUAAAUAUUGUUAAUUUUUUCAUACUCAAAUGACUUAUAAUAAUUAAUUAGGGGUCAUAUAAUAAAACUACAAUUGAAAUAGCUGAAGCAAAUAUGUCAUAAAUAUCUAUUUUAUUUUUUAUUAAAUAUAAUUAAUUUUUAAUACAUAAAUAAUAUGCAAUAAUUAAUUAAGAUGAUAUAAUAAAAUUACGAAACAAUCAUCAGCUCUCUACUUGAGCUGGCACCCCCCCACCCCCAAACCAAAAAAAAAAAACAAGCAAUAUCAAACUAAUCUUUGCUUUUUUAUUGAUAUUGCAUUAGGUAUCCUAAGACAAUAAACUACUAUAGCAAAGGCACAAAUCUAAUAUUUAAUUUUAUUGUUUCAAUUCUUAGUACUACUUUUGAAAAAAAAAAAAAAAAAAGGGGUUCAGACAUAGAAUUUUUUUGAUAAACGUUACUACUACAGAGAAGUUUGACUGUAAUGACGGACAAAUCUUGACUACUAAUAAUAUUAUGUCAACUAAUUAACUAUCAGUAUAUUGACAAUCAAAUAUGAUAAUUAAUAACAUGUCAAUAUUAACUAUUGAUAUAAUGACAAUCAAAUCUGACUAUUAAUAUUAUGUCAAUUUAACUACAGGUAUAGUGUCUCGUCUUUAAAGAAAUGUCCAAAUUGAGAUUAGCCCAACUUAUAUAUAAACAAGUAGUGUAUACACUAAAAACUCACAAACUACUCUUUGCAUUUUAUUUUUUUUGGUGAAAGAAAAAUGACAGUGUCUUCAAAAAUCUUUUCAAUCUUAGUUGUCCUCGCUGCCAUUGUAUUCUCUUUUUUCCUACAAUCAAUUAUUAUAGCAAAGCACAAAAAUAAUAUUUUACUUUAAAUUAUAGGUUCAAACAAAUAAUUUAUUGGGCGCGAGCGAGUUGUUUGAAUGGUAAAAGUGGUUGUAAGUUUGAGUGAAGCAAAAAAGUGUGAAAGCUCCUAACACUCUGUUUGGAUCGUGGUUUGCAUGAUUUCAUAAUGUAUGGUACAAUAUGGUAUGGUAUGAUACUGUAUAGUAUAAUACAAUACAAUGUUUGGAUAAACUGUAUCGAUCACUGCUGUUUAAUAACAAUUUUUUUGUUUGAUUUGAUGGUAUGGUACUGUAUCGUAACGAGUAAGUUUACUAAAAUAAUUAGGGUAUUUUCUUAUUAACUAUGAGCAGGAUUUUGGAUAUUGAUGUUCGAAUUAACUAUGCAUCAUAAUAAGUACAAUUAUGCAUCAAGAAACUUAAUCGAAUGCAGCUUUUGGAGUUUGAAAUUGAACACCUUUGCUCAUUCAGUGGGAUGAUGAGCACUAAAACUAGUAGCAUUCGACCCAUUUCAACUGACUUCAGUUAUCUAGCAAUCCAUGAAAAAUUUUGAGCUAAAGCAUCUCUAUCCAUGGAAAAAUAUUUGACCACAUAAUUUUUUUAAAAUUAGAUAUUGUUCCUUUGUUCUAGUAUUAGUUAUAGCUGAGAGUUAACACUGAUGGGAGAGAUUCAGUGUUUCAUUACAACGAGACAGCUGGAGAAAGGGUAAUAAUAUCCAUUAGUUACCCCAAUCAUAAAAAAUGGGCAAAAUGGAUCUUUGCAUCAGUUUAUUAUUUAUACCGCAUAACACCAAUUAACAAGUAAUAAUUCUUUCACAUGUCUCUUUAUCAUAGCAUUUUUUAAUGAAUAUAGUUGACUUAAAUCACUGCAAAUCAUGACAACCAAAUCUGCAGCCCCACUUGGUUUUUGGAAUUGUACCACGAGCGUCGAAGAAGAAAAAAGCGGAAGAAGAAAAAGGAGUCAGAGAAGAACAACACAAUAAAGAGCAGAGAAAGACUGAGAGCAGAAAAGCAUAAGAAUUAGUAAUAUAGGGUAAAGAGUAAAAUAGGAUUAAAUAAAAUUAUAUAAGGGCAUAGUUGGAAAAGAAAAAGGAAAAUUAUGGAAUACCACCAAAUUGGUGGUUCAAAAAAUUGGGGGAUUUCAUGGUUAUCAAACCAUGAAAAAAUACCAUACCAUACCAUCCCUUUUAGCAAACAAUCAAAACAAAUAUGGUUUCCAUGAUAACCAUACCAUACAUGGGAAACCACCAUCCAAACAGACACUAAAAAGGCGUACGAAUAAACAUACCAUCUGUUGUAAACACCUCUAAUUAUAUUCUCAAUAUCUAUUAUUAUUAUUAUUAUUUUAAUUUAUAUUAAAAUAAUUAAAUUAACUUGUGCACAUCUCCAAGCAUUGCAGUUACAUAUUCGUAUAAAAUAAUUUAUUUAUUUAUAUUUUAAUUUUUUUAAUAAAAAAUUUAAUUCCGUCACUGACCGGUGUAUAUAUGACAGGUUGUGCAGCACAACCAGUAAAUUGUACUGAGUCAUAUUGUGAAGUGACUUAGCCGAAAGUAUGCAAAGAUUAUUAUAAGAUAGAACAAUGCGAAUAUUUUUGCAUGGGACGAUUUGGAACAAUAUGUGAGGCAGAUUGUAUAUUAGAUGAGGAUUCAGUUUUGGUUUGUCAAUGUUUGAUACCACAAGACAAAUGUCCCUAAAUGUAAGGAUAAUUUCCUACCUUAUGAUAAUUUCAAUUAUUAUAAUGAAAAUUAAAGAUGUUGUUUCUUCUUCAUCCUCGUCUUUUUCUUCUUGUUAUUAUUUACAUUACUUCCUAUUUUCCUAAUAAGAGAGAAAGCACACAGCUGAAGCAAACAAAUGGUCAACAUAUCUGCUUCAGCUGUGUGCUUAAAGAAUGAAAGUGGUGUUUGGUUUGGUGGAUGAAGCCACAAUUUUUAUGUCAAGUGUCUUGAGGUUGAACCUCAAUAGCUACGCUAUUUUUAUCUCUCUUUAUUUUUUCUUUUUUUAUAUUGUAGUAAUUCACAUAUUUCUUUCAAUUGUGAAUAAUUGUAAAUCUUUUCUUCCAAUUUUAAAUUACUGUAAAUGUUUUUGGAGUAAAUGAACAUAAACACACAUUUUUUCGUUUCAAUUUAUGUGAAAUAGUUUAAAUUUUGAUAGUGAAAUGUUUAAAUUUAAUUAUGGAUUCGAAUAUACAAUCUUCAUUUUUUAAAAAAUAAAAUUAUAGAGUAUAUUUGAGUCAAAAUGAUUGAUAAUUCAAAAUAUUUAAAAAUAUAUAUACAAUUACUCUUUAAAAUAGGUUUGACUGGAUUUUUAAACUCGAAAGAUGCCACGUAAAUUAAGAUUGAGAGUAAUAUACAAGAUCAAUUUUUUUUUUAAUAAUUGAGUUGAUGUUAAGUAUUUCUCACUUCCUAUUCGAACGUUGUGAGUAGGGGUGCACAUAGGUCGGAUUGAUUUGAUCUUUUAUUAAAAAUAAAAAAUCAAACCAAUCAUGUCAUUUUUUUUUAAAACUAUAAACCAAAUCAAACCAACAUAAAAUUGAUUUUUCUGGUUUAGGUUUUAGUCGGUUCUUUCAAUUUUUUUGAUUUUUUUCGUUUUUUUAUAAUCUUUAGUUUUUACAAUUAUAUUAUUAUUGAAGACUAGAUCAAAUAUGUUUUCACUCACGUGCUAAUGAAAAAAUGAGGAGCAAAAAACCCUCUUAAAACUAAAAAGUAAGAUGAAGAGUGAAAAAUUUAGGUUUUAAAUUUAUAUUGGGUUUUAGAUGAUUUAAUUAGCAAUUAAUGAAUAAACAUUACAAUUUAAAGACCCAAAUCUGAAUAUAUAUUUACAUCUACUUUCUAAAAUAUUGAAAAUUAAUAAAACUAAUUGAAAAGGUACUUAAAAGUAGAUUAUAAUAUAUAUAUAUAUUAUAUCGGUUUGAUUUGAAUUCGAUUUGAUUUUUUUUUAUUAAUACCAAACCAAAUCAAGAAUGGUCGAAUUUUAUUUCUAACGCCAAACCACCAAACCAAACCAAAUCAUAAGUCCAUUUUUUUUCUCAAUUUGAUUUGAUUCAUUAGUUCGAUUUGACUUGACAGUUUGGUUUGUACACCCUGAUUGUGAGUUUCAGUACUAACAAGAAAAAAGGUGAAAAUCUAAGAGAGGAAUUAAAAAAAAUAAGAAAGAGAAAGUGAACCUUUCAAUUCAUUGAAUUAAUGAUCAUUUUACAUUAUCCAUAAGAAUAUGCAUAUAUAAUUUCUAAUCUACAUUUGCAACUGAAAGAAAAAUAGAGAUUUAGGAAGAAGGUUCAAUCUUUUUGUUUUUUUAGGGAAAAGAACAAUAAUAGUCUAUCGGUCAAAACAAAUUUCAUUAAAAUAGUUUUAGGGGUCGUUUGGUAGAGUGUAUGAGACUAAUACAAAAUAUGAUGUAUUAAUAAUGUUUGUAUUAGUAAUGCUUGUGUUAGUUAUGCUUGCAUUAGUUAUACUUGUAUUUUUCUUAUGUAGUGUUUGGUUCGAUGUAUUAAAAAAAACAUGAAUUACAUAAUUUAAAAAAAAAAAAAUUCUUUUACACAAUACCCUCAAUAUAUAUGUUGGAAAUGAUGCGAAAAUUUUUUUGAGGGGUACUAGGGUCUUUAAGCAUAUUAAUGCAUGCAUUAGAUUCAUUGCAUUACUAAUGUCAUGGAUUUUGAGCUAUUAAUAAUACACACCUCAAUACACAAUAGAGUGUAUAACUAAUAUUUACAUUAGUUAUACAUAGGGUAAAAAGGUAUACCAAACAAGGUACUACUAAUACACAUUAAACUAAUGCAUGCAUUAACAUUGUAAUACACUGUACCAAACGACCCCUAAGAGGUUGCAUUUUCAAGUUGUAACCAUAUGAAGAACGUCAGUCGCUGACAUGUGCGUUAAGGCAUGCCCUAUUUUUUUGGCAUUGUUAAUUUCUGAUUGAUCCAUGCUUCUUUUUUCUUUUAAUUUUUUUUUGGUUAUUGCUUUACUUUUUCUUCUUCUUUAUUUAAAAGAAUAACUGAACUAUUUUUUUUUAAUUCCAUCAAAAUAAAAACAAUCAAUAAUUAUAGAAAUUGUUGUAUAAAAGUUUUUUUGUUCAAGUGCAUUUUAAAAAAAAAAUGUAUUAGUGCAUAUUUGAUAUCAAAUACACACACAUAUAUACUAGUUUAAUCGCACGUGUCUCGCAUGUAGAAUAUAAAUUAUUUAUAAUUAAAUAAUUUUUAUCUAUUGCGGAGAUUUUUUAUGAAGUACAAAAGUUCAAAUAACUUUUUAAAGAUGCUUCACACGUUAAUAUAAUAAUAUAAAAAUAAAUACUAUAUAAUUUAGUGUAAGCACAUAUGUAUUUGACCAUCAAAGUUCUAAGUAGUUGAUGGAUCAUCACUUUUGCGUUCGUCAUACAACGCCUUUUUUCAUGCUGUCAGAGGUAAGAAGAUGCAUCAAUUUGAACCAUAUUUGAGGUAUGAUUAUUUUUUUCUAUAUUUAAAAUCUUUCUAUUAAUUUUAAAGUCAAAUAUUUACAAAAUCAUUGAUUACAUAUUUGUUAAGUACUUGAAACUUUUAAACUUUACUACUUUUUAAUUUUUUUUUUUAUUCUAACGCUUUUAUAUUUAUUUUAAAUUUUCUUAAAAUCAAAUAUAGUUGAUUAGAAUUAUUAAACUAACGAAAAAAGUAUUAGUCAUCAUUAAUUAUGACAACUUUUAAUAAGGAAAGGUUUUAGUAUGCAUAUUUUUAUAGAUGUAUUUUUCUAAUCUGAAUAGGUUAUUUCAGUAGUACAAAUAAUAAUAUGCAUAUUUUUAUAGAUGUAUUUUUCUAAUCUGAAUAGGUUAUUUCUAUAGUACAAAUAAAAUAAUUAUAAGAAUUAUAAUUCUUAAAAAGCUCUUAAAGCUAAAGUAAUUUAUUUUUUUAAAAGACUAAACGCAAUACUUACUUGACUAUACUUAGCUUGUUCUGAUGUACACGUGUAGAUUGUCUGGUUGGGUUUGAGUUUUGAUGUCAACGUGCUUGUUUCGUCCAACUUUUGAUCAAAAAAUUUUAAUUGAAAGAGAAACAUAAAAAAUUAACAAAAGUUUUACUUGUAAAACUACUUGUAAAACUAACACAAGAAAUCAUCUGAAAGACAAACUAUUGACAUAUAUAUAUAAUAGUUCAACGAAGGCAAACAAUAAAAGAAGAAAGAUAUGAAAAAAUGUACAUACUUGUGAUACAAGUCAAAUGGCCACCUUAAUUUUUGAAAACAUGAUUGGAGGUCAUCAUUUAAAGGCUCAAGACUUAGUCACCCUGAGGGCACAAGAAUAUGCAAGGAAGACCCGUUUUAAGCACAAGCAAGGCCAUGUGUUGAAGAUUGCUUGGAGCAUCGAAGACUUGAGGACACACGGUUUUGGAAAACACUUAAUGGGUCAUGAUUUGGUCAUCUUCAUUAAGGGUAUUUUGGUCACUUCAUUGGGUCCAAAUGCACUCCAUGGCCACCCCACCCUUUAAGGGCAUUGUUGUCAUUUUGCCUUGUCUUUUAAUAGAAUAUAAAUAGAACAUUUUAAGUCUUUUUCUCAUUAGUUGUUUAUUGAUGGAAGACAAACUCUCUCUCUAGUGUAAGGAGUGUAACACCCCUUAAUUGUAGGGCUUGGAAAAGCCACCAAUCCGUAACUAGGGCUGCCCAAGUGUGGAUAUCACUUGUGUUGCAUCGUUGGCUUGAUACAUUGGUGAUUAGGGAGGUAAAGUCCCUCCUUUUUCAACGUAAGAGUUUGAUGUUAACAUUCAUUAAUCUUAGGGUCCUUACAUGUGGUUAGGGUUCUUAGAUUCUUGAAUAUUGUAUGUCAAACUAUCUAUCCAUCUCUUUUGUUAACAUUGUAUUGUUGUUGGUCUUUGAAGUCUAUUUGAUUUUGUUCUAACAAGAUCAAUCUUGGUCUUGAGAGUUGAAAAAAAAAAUAUCAAAAAAAAGAUAUAAAAAAAAGAGUUGAAAAACUGAAAAAAAAAUCCAGAAAAGGAAUAAUCUGGUCGUUCUUGUUGUUUUUGGCCGAGAAAGUUGUUGUUCUUGUUGUUGUCUUGGCCGAGACAUAUUUCUUUGUGAUUAGAUCUUGUAGUCUUUUGUUGUUUAGAGUGUUUCUAGUGUUGGUUUCUUUCUCACCAACACUAAAAAGUGUCCAAAUCUAAGCUUGAACUUGAACUUGUUGAUGUUGUUAAUGUGAACAAAGUGUGGCUGAUUUGAUGUUGUUGUCAUUCUAAGCCUUGACCGUGUUGAAGGCCCUGUUGUUGUGGAGUUGGGCGUUGGAAUUUGUUGUUGUUCUUGGGGAAUAUUGUUGUUGUUCUUGGUGUUGUUAUUGUGUUCUUGUUGUUCUUCACCCUUUUCAUCUUUUGUUAAAACAAAAAGUGAACAUUAGAUCCAUAAAAGGUGAAAGACCAAGUUGUAGUACUUGUUGGUGAAAGACUUGAUCACAUCACUCAAAAGACUUGACAACCACUUUUCACCUACUUUCCUUGAUUUAAGGACCUUGUUUCAAGGAGAAAGUACCAAGAAGGUCAAGUCUUGUUUUGAACUUGAAAAUGAAGCUUCAAGACCAAANNNNNNNNNNNNNNNNNNNNNNNNNNNNNNNNNNNNNNNNNNNNNNNNNNNNNNNNNNNNNNNNNNNNNNNNNNNNNNNNNNNNNNNNNNNNNNNNNNNNNNNNNNNNNNNNNNNNNNNNNNNNNNNNNNNNNNGCAACAUUUUGAGUUCAACUUUUAGAUUUCUUAGUUUCAUUUUAUUGUUUCUUAGUUUCGUUUGUUGGUUUGAACACUAAUUGACGACCGAGUAAUCUCCUACUAGCUUGUUAGUUAGUUUUUGUGCCCGUUUGUUCGUGCUAGCGUUAUUUUGUGCUUUUCUUGUUUUUGAAUCAUAGAAUUUCCUGGUU